AAAAACUUAAUUUUAAUUUUUAAUUUAAUUUAAUUUUUUACUUAUAUAUAAAAUAUUUAAUUUAAAUAAAUACCCAUAAUUAAUAUAUAAAAUUAGAUUAUUAAAUAAAUUUAUAUCUAAAAAAAAAAUCAAUAUUAAUAAAAAAUUGUGCCAGCAAUUGCGGUUAAACAUUUAAUAUUAAUUAAAUAAUUCAAAUAAAAUAAAAUAUAAAUAAAUAAUUAAAUUUAACUUUAAUUUUAUAAUAAAAUAUAAAUAAAUUAAAAACUUAAUUAAUCAAUAAUUUAAUUAAAAAAUUUUUUAAUAAACUAGGAUUAGAUACCCUAUUAUUAAAACAAAAUAUUAUAUUAAAAAAUUAAAUGAUAAAUCACUAAAUUUAAAAAAUUUGACUGUAUAUUAUUUUUAUUAGAGGAAUAUAUUUAUUAAUAGAUAAUAAACUAAAAAAAUCACUUAAAUUAUGUUUAUAUAUUGUUGUUUAAAAAUUUAAUUUUAAAAUAAGUAAUUAAGAUAUUAAUAUAAAUAAUAAUUCAAAUCAUAAUAUAACUAAUAUUUAAGAAUAAAAGUAUUACAUUUUAUAAAAAAUUAUUUAUAAAAUUUUUAAUUUUAUAAAAAAAAGAAUUUAAUAUUAAAAUUAAUUUAAUUAACUAAAUUAAAAAUAAAAUUAAUAUAGGUACAUAUCGCCCGUCAUUCUCAUAAUUUGAGACAAGUCGUAACAAAGUAAAAUUACUGGAAAGUAAUUUUAGAAU
This 743-nucleotide ribosomal RNA is filed under the name Diachasmimorpha longicaudata. RNAcentral describes it as "12S ribosomal RNA". Lineage: Eukaryota; Metazoa; Arthropoda; Insecta; Hymenoptera; Braconidae. The record is from RNAcentral.